UACGAAGGGGGCUAGCGUUGUUCGGAAUUACUGGGCGUAAAGCGUAGGUAGGCGGUUUUCCAAGUCAGGGGUGAAAUCCCGGAGCUUAACUCCGGAAUUGCCUUUGAAACUGGAAAGCUGGAGAAAGUUAGAGGCAAGUGGAAUUCCUAGUGUAGGAGUGAAAUCCGUAGAUAUUAGGAGGAACAUCGAUGGCGAAGGCAGCUUGCUGGGACUUUUCUGACGCUGAGCUACGAAAGCGUGGGUAGCAAACAGG
RNAcentral lists this ribosomal RNA (253 nucleotides) under uncultured bacterium. Its description in RNAcentral is "partial 16S ribosomal RNA". It matches the Rfam family "Bacterial small subunit ribosomal RNA", at positions 524 to 776 of the family's 1533-position model. The record is from RNAcentral.